GGGGAAUUUUCCGCAAUGGGCGAAAGCCUGACGGAGCAAGACCGCGUGGGGGAAGAAGGCUCUUGGGUUGUAAACUCCUUUUCUCUGGGAAGAACAAAAUGACGGUACCAGAGGAAUCAGCAUCGGCUAACUCCGUGCCAGCAGCCGCGGUAAGACGGAGGAUGCAAGCGUUAUCCGGAAUGAUUGGGCGUAAAGCGUCCGCAGGUGGCAGUUCAAGUCUGCUGUCAAAGACCGGGGCUUAACCUCGGAAAGGCAGUGGAAACUGAACAGCUAGAGUAUGGUAGGGGCAAAGGGAAUUCCUGGUGUAGCGGUGAAAUGCGUAGAGAUCAGGAAGAACAUCGGUGGCGAAGGCGCUUUGCUGGACCAUAACUGACACUCAGGGACGAAAGCUAGGGGAGCGAAAGGGAUUAGAUACCCCUGUAGUC
Molecule: ribosomal RNA, 425 nt
Filed under: uncultured cyanobacterium
Lineage: Bacteria; Bacillati; Cyanobacteriota
Description: bacterial SSU rRNA
Rfam family: Bacterial small subunit ribosomal RNA
Source: RNAcentral